AGCAGCCGCGGUAAAUUCCAGCUCCAAUAGCGUAUAUUAAAGUUGUUGCAGUUAAAAAGCUCGUAGUUGAAUUUCGGGAUUAGUAGGUUGGUCGUGCCUCUGGUAUGUACUGGCUUUACUGGUUCCUCCUUCUUGAAGAACUGUAAUGUCAUUAAUUUGGUGUUGCAGGGAAACAGGACUGUUACUUUGAAAAAAUUAGAGUGUUUAAAGCAGGCUAACGCUUGAAUACAUUAGCAUGGAAUAAUGAAAUAGGACGUUUGAUCCUAUUUUGUUGGUUUCUAGGAUUGACGUAAUGAUUAAUAGGGAUAGUUGGGGGCAUUAGUAUUCAAUUGUCAGAGGUGAAAUUCUUGGAUUUAUUGAAGACUAACUACUGCGAAAGCAUUUGCCAAGGAUGUUUUCA
This 400-nucleotide ribosomal RNA is filed under the name uncultured Glomeromycotina. RNAcentral describes it as "SSU rRNA". It matches the Rfam family "Eukaryotic small subunit ribosomal RNA", at positions 569 to 972 of the family's 1831-position model. The record is from RNAcentral. Lineage: Eukaryota; Fungi; Glomeromycota.